Long non-coding RNA from Passer domesticus (house sparrow), 1062 nucleotides. RefSeq lists it as uncharacterized. The record is from RefSeq and is a predicted model, not a curated record. NCBI's taxonomy places the organism in Eukaryota, Metazoa, Chordata, Aves, Passeriformes, Passeridae. The transcript has 4 exons.
CCAUUUGUGGUAUCGGCAGAAGAAAUGCGGCACUCAAUAUGAGUGAUCAGCAAAUCUCAAACUUUAUUGAUAGGCACAUACAUUUAUAUUGGUGUUAAUGAGGCUAAUACAUAUUGCAAAAGUGUUCUGGAAAACUUUUCCUGAUUAUUUGGAGUACUUGACUGGAAAGACACUACACAGACAUCACAUGUGACUCCUUGGGGUUUAGUCAAGAUCUGCUACCUCAGCCCAGUAUCUGCAAACUGCAGCUGCAUCUUAGAAGUCAUGCAUUCUUGUAUCCCUCCUCUUAAGUAUUUUUCCUGUGGUUUGUGGAUUUUUCCGUUAAGCUCAAAUGAGUUAAAAAUACUGGAGAUGACUAGUACCAACAAGCAGCCUGUACUUUGAACUGCUCAACACAUUCUAAACCAGAAAACAUGGCUGAUCCAAGUUCUACAAUCCUCUGUCUCCAGUCAUCCUGCUCCCCAGUUUCUGGCCAUAGUGAUACUACAGAAAGAAGAAAAGAGUGGACAACCUAACGCAGACAGAACACCUCAUUGGUACCUCUUAUUCAGCACAGACAAGGAUUGCCUUCUUCAGGCUGAGUUAAAUAUCCAAUGCAAACAUAUCCUAAGUAGCAUUUUAGAAUACUACUGUAACUGCUAAGUAAUUAAAUAGAUUAAUUUCUCUUUAUAUCCAUCAAGGAAUUCCACACCUGAUGUCAAAACAUUUUGCCAAGUAAAAUUUUAUUGCUAACAGCAUAUUCUGUGGGAAAAUUGCAGAUCAGCAAGCAAUACUUUUCUAAACUAUAUAUGGUACUCUAAAUCUGUCAACUGGUUCUAGGAAGUGCCUGAGUUUUCCUCCAAUAUUUUGCUAUUUAUCACUCUCAGUAUUUCCAAGCAUAAAUGUACAAGACAUAUGUCAAUGUACCUCCAACGUUUUAACAGCUGAAGCCUACUACUUCUGUAGCUUAAAUACAUUGUCCAAAGAUGAAAUAUACCAAAUAACUGGAUCUCAAAAGUAGUUAGGCAAGUAGGAAUAUUUCAGUUUUAUCAGGCACAUGACACAUUAAAUUUGUUUGAAUAA